AAGUAAAUAUGAUUAUUGCUCGUCGAGAAAUUUUUUGUUAGUUGAUAGGUCGCAAACAUUUCUAAAAAAAAAAACUGGCAGCUAACGAUUGAAAAAUAAGUGAUUUUUAGGCGCUUAGAGGCAGAUUUUUAUUUUCAUUUUAUUUUUAUUUUUGUUUUUUUAUUUUUUUUAUAAUUAAUGUUUUGGGUUUGUGUUUCGUCAGCUCUCUUCAAACAAUUUGCAAAUUUUCUACUUGGGAACAUGAGUAUAUUCUAGUUGACAACAGCUGCAACAACAACAACAACAAACAUAAUGACGACAGUGAAGCAAUUUGUUGGUUGUUGUUGUCGUUGUUGUUUUGGGAACAAUGAGUAUUCUACUUACAUACAUACUUACAUACAUACAUACAUACAUACAUAGACAUGCAUAUUACUUAAAGCCGUCAACCAAGUUGCUGCAAGUUUUUUGUUUAGCCAUUUAAGUAGUAUAUUUACAGAUGUCUAUGUUUUCUAGUUUUUUUAUUUAUAUAUAUAUAUAUAUAUACACAUAUUCACAUACGCUUAGGUCUUGAAUAACUUUUGUUAUUUAUUUACACUUCUCUUUGAUUUAACGGUGUAGGUUGAUGUUUAUUUGAGUUGAAUUUCUUAUACUCAUUUUUAAAUUUUAUUUCUCUUUCCUUUUUUGUUGGGUUUUCUAUUUGAAUUAAGUGCAAUGUCUAGCUAAUAGCUAAUUAGUUUUGUGUGGUAGCAGUUAAGCGCAGUAUUUAUGCACACGUGUACCUUACGACAAGUUCAAGUUAAACAUUUGAUUUCCGUACCGUUUGAUUUUUUUCCAGUCAGUGCCAUUUAUAUUUCGUUUGGUAGCAAUUGGCUAACAGCCGCACAUACAUACGUACAUAUAUAUUAAACAUUUUAUAGUAGUGUAUAGAUGGAGCCUUGAAUCGAGUUGGUGCUUAAACAUUUUUGUAGACAUAAGUUAGUUGAGGUUCUCAGGCAGCCGUCCAACAAUAUUUUGCACAACUAGUCAGCAAAAAGCGCGCAUCAAAUCACCAAGCAGACAGACAGACAGCUGGAGGAAUGCUAAAGAACUGUAAAAUCAAUCAUAAUAAUAAUCAUAAUAAACAUUUAUGUAUAGAUAUUCAGUAGGCUAGUUUGAGCUGAGCUGCCUUAAAGAUCACUUAUUUCGUCGACGUUAGGCCCAGUAGCAAAACAAUAAGUAAAACAACAUAAAUACGACUCAUUCCAAAGAAACAGAAUUUAAAUCUAAACAAAGCAAAGCAAACGAAAAG
This is a long non-coding RNA of Drosophila navojoa, 1267 nucleotides long. Lineage: Eukaryota; Metazoa; Arthropoda; Insecta; Diptera; Drosophilidae. The record is from RefSeq and is a predicted model, not a curated record.